Long non-coding RNA from Anas platyrhynchos (mallard), 783 nucleotides. RefSeq lists it as uncharacterized. Lineage: Eukaryota; Metazoa; Chordata; Aves; Anseriformes; Anatidae. The record is from RefSeq and is a predicted model, not a curated record.
UUAAUUCACAAAUGCUCUGCAGAGUGAAUUUCCUUACAUUUUAGUUUUCUUACUUGAACAUUUCAGAGACGUGGAUUUUUAAAGAUGAGGAGGAGAAAUUACCUCAUACAAACUUGUACUGGUUUAAAGCCCAGCAACCUCUUAACUUUAUUUUUUUUUUCUUAUUUUUUAUUUUGUAGAAAUUUGUUACUAAUCAAUUUACACUGAGCCAAAAUAAUUACUUCCAUGCAGGCUAUCAGUUUAACCACCGUAUCUCAAACUGCUGUAAAUGCUUUGCAUGUAAAAGGCUUCAGAUUAUAUAAUACAAAGACGUCUUCCACCUUCUCCCCUUUCUCAGCAUACAUGCUCCGGAUUUAAUUUGGGCAUUUAUGCACUGGACAGUGGGGAGAAGUCAGUGUGACUCGUGCACUCGGAGGUCUCUGCUGUCGUGUUUACACUGCAAACGAAGUUUGGAGAACUUGUUUGAAGCUUUAUGGAGGAAACAUUCAGCCCUCAAAUCACCAUCUCCAGGCAAAGUGAGGCUGCUGAAGACGUUACCCGCUCGUUGCGCACACACCUCUACACGGAGAUUCUUAAUCUUCACCCACCCAAGAUUAAGACAACUCAAAUUAUGAAAUCGAUACCAAUACAAACAGCAACAUCUAUUACAGCUUCAAUGUUUUCACUGUAUUUUUUUCCGAACUAUUAAAGCGGUAUGAUUUUAAUGUGACUGUUGUUGUUUAAGCAGUACAAAUUCCCAGUUGUUUGAUGCUGUGAGUACUUAUGCAAAUGCCCCACUUUCCU